RNAcentral lists this ribosomal RNA (502 nucleotides) under uncultured bacterium. RNAcentral's name for it is "bacterial SSU rRNA". It matches the Rfam family "Bacterial small subunit ribosomal RNA", at positions 28 to 531 of the family's 1533-position model. The record is from RNAcentral.
GAUGAACGCUGGCGGCGUGCCUAACACAUGCAAGUCGAGCGGAGACCCCUGAAGUAGAAAUGCGGAAGGGAUCUUAGCGGCGGACGGGUGAGUAACACGUGAGCAAUCUGCCUUCUGCAGGGGAAUAACAUUGUGAAAAACAGUGCUAAUACCGCAUGACAUGGCACCGGGGCAUCCCGGAGCCAUCAAAGGAGCAAUCCGGCAGGAGAUGAGCUCGCGUCCGAUUAGGUAGUUGGUGAGGUAACGGCCACCAAGCCGACGAUCGGUAGCCGAACUGAGAGGUUGAUCGGCCACAUUGGGACUGAGACACGGCCCAGACUCCUACGGGAGGCAGCAGUGGGGAAUAUUGGGCAAUGGGGGAAACCCUGACCCAGCAACGCCGCGUGAAGGACGAAGGCCUUCGGGUUGUAAACGUUCUUUGAUCAGGGACGAAAAAAUGACGGUACCUGAAGAACAAGACCACGGCUAACUACGUGCCAGCAGCCGCGGUAAAUAGCGUACG